This 434-nucleotide ribosomal RNA is filed under the name uncultured Lachnospiraceae bacterium. RNAcentral's name for it is "partial 16S ribosomal RNA". It matches the Rfam family "Bacterial small subunit ribosomal RNA", at positions 341 to 792 of the family's 1533-position model. Lineage: Bacteria; Bacillati; Bacillota; Clostridia; Lachnospirales; Lachnospiraceae. The record is from RNAcentral.
ACGGAAGGCAGCAGUGGGGAAUAUUGCACAAUGGGCGAAAGCCUGAUGCAGCGACGCCGCGUGAGUGGAGAAGUAUCUCGGUAUGUAAAGCUCUAUCAGCAGGGAAGAAAAUGACGGUACCUGACUAAGAAGCCCCGGCUAACUACGUGCCAGCAGCCGCGGUAAUACGUAGGGGGCAAGCGUUAUCCGGAUUUACUGGGUGUAAAGGGAGCGUAGACGGUUUGGCAAGUCUGAAGUGAAAUGCGGGGGCUCAACUCCUGAACUGCUUUGGAAACUGUCGAACUAGAGUGCAGGAGAGGUAAGUGGAAUUCCUAGUGUAGCGGUGAAAUGCGUAGAUAUUAGGAGGAACACCAGUGGCGAAGGCGGCUUACUGGACUGUAACUGACGUUGAGGCUCGAAAGCGUGGGGAGCAAACAGGAUUAGAUACCCUGGUA